Molecule: ribosomal RNA, 249 nt
Filed under: uncultured Chloracidobacterium sp.
Lineage: Bacteria; Pseudomonadati; Acidobacteriota; Blastocatellia; Chloracidobacteriales; Chloracidobacteriaceae
Description: partial 16S ribosomal RNA
Rfam family: Bacterial small subunit ribosomal RNA
Source: RNAcentral
UCGGGAAUUUUGGGCAAUGGGCGAAAGCCUGACCCAGCAACGCCGCGUGAAGGAUGAAGUAUUUCGGUAUGUAAACUUCGAAAGAAUGGGAAGAAUAAAUGACGGUACCAUUUAUAAGGUCCGGCUAACUACGUGCCAGCAGCCGCGGUAAUACGUAGGGACCAAGCGUUGUUCGGAUUUACUGGGCGUAAAGGGCGCGUAGGCGGCUUGACAAGUCACUUGUGAAAUCUCCGGGCUUAACUCGGAACG